This 89-nucleotide non-coding RNA is filed under the name chicken gut metagenome. The record is from RNAcentral.
CGCUAGGGGAGCUUUGGCUGAGACUGAAAAGAUUCGUUCCUUUCUGACCCUCAAUACUUGAACCGGUUAAUGCCGGCGUAAGGAAGCAU